GACGUAGGGGGCAAGCGUUGUUCGGAAUUACUGGGCGUAAAGCGCACGCAGGCGGUCUGUCAAGUCGGAUGUGAAAUCCCCGGGCUCAACCUGGGAACUGCAUUCGAAACUGGCAGGCUAGAGUCUUGUAGAGGGGGGUAGAAUUCCAGGUGUAGCGGUGAAAUGCGUAGAGAUCUGGAGGAAUACCGGUGGCGAAGGCGGCCCCCUGGACAAAGACUGACGCUCAGGUGCGAAAGCGUGGGGAGCAAACAGG
RNAcentral lists this ribosomal RNA (253 nucleotides) under uncultured bacterium. Its description in RNAcentral is "partial 16S ribosomal RNA". It matches the Rfam family "Bacterial small subunit ribosomal RNA", at positions 524 to 776 of the family's 1533-position model. The record is from RNAcentral.